Molecule: long non-coding RNA, 1852 nt
Organism: Athalia rosae (coleseed sawfly)
Lineage: Eukaryota; Metazoa; Arthropoda; Insecta; Hymenoptera; Athaliidae
Exons: 6
Source: RefSeq, a predicted model, not a curated record
CGCGUCUGUAGAUGGUAUUAGUUGUCAAUUAUUCAUAGGGGUAGUUUCUUUUUUUUCGAAUCUGUUGAAAGUGGUUGAAACUUCAUUUCCGCACAAUCAUAUUUAAUUCAGUUCUAAUAUUUCAGUGGUGAAGAUUGUAGGAUGAUAUCAAGCAAUUUUGCAUAAUCAAUAAUGGAACGAAACGACUAUUGCAAAUUGUUGUUGGAGCGUUGAAUCCAAGCUGAUGCGACCUACAUCGGCGAACCGUUUGACCCAGAAUAACGAAGGUAUACGAACGCUGGUAUAUUCCGAUCCUCGCUUCAAAUGCUGAUCGGUGCCUACAAAAGCCGACACAGAGCCUUAUUUUUGAGGAUCUAAAAAUGCCUCUUCAUGCCCUCACUCAAGUUUCUUUUCAUCCUCUGUGAUCCGCUCGUUUACUUUUGAAAGCGAACAGAUAAGUUACCCGUCUAUUUGUUCAACUGUAACGACUAGAUAAUAUGACACCACUUUUUGCAGACGAAGCAAGGAGAUUUAGAAGACCGCAAUUUGAUUGCGGUAUGUUUCGUUUUUGAUAAUUAGUUCGGGAGAGCUUUCGAAAGUCAAUGGUCGUCCGGUGUUGAAUUAAGAGCAUGGUGAUCGCAUUUUUCUGCCGCAGGGGUUCUUAAGAGCCACCUAAUUUCAACGAAAAAAGAAAUCAGCAUCACCUGCAUUACCCGCUUUUGCCUAAUAUCAAAUUUACUAUUCAUGAAAAAGGUUACGCAUUCUCAACUCACCAUGAAAUCUACAAGAGUUAAUACCUGGAUGAAUUUCAUCGGACGUAAAAUUACCCGAUCUGAUUCCGUACACGUUGACAGGGAAUUGAAACGAGCGUGGAAUACCUGAUGGAUGAAUGCACCGAGGGCGGGUUUUCCAACGCUUAUCUCUACGAGUUUCUGGAUGGGAUCGACAGAUCUUAUUUUAGAUCGGUGAGAUUCCUGAGUAUUGGAUGAAUAAUGAAUGAAGACGACUCUGGAAUGCUUGCUACGGACAUGAGUGUGGGUACGAAAACGUCGCCGCGGACGAAAGCACAGCCUGAUUACUAAUUCCAAUACGACUGACGGUACAUGAGAAAUAAAAAUUCAAAAGAUGCUGCAGCAGAUGGUUGAAAGUCCCAAAAGAACUUGGUUCCAUUCGGCGUACUUUCUCUUCCUGAAGAAGAAGAAUCCAUACAGAGUCGCUUAUUCGAUCUAUGGAAAGUGCAAAUGCGACUGGUCUUUCUUUGUUACUGACGCUACUGACCGAACAAGAUAUAGCAUGACACAUGACGCCGCGAUUCCUCAUGUACCACACGAAUUUAAUUCCGGACGCUACGCAGAGAUGCUCAUGAAAGAGAUGAAAAAAUAAAUGAAACAGAAACUACACGUACUUGAAGUAGCUGCAGGUCAUGCAUUAAAAUUCACGAUUAAGAACCCGGAAUUUUCCCCUCAUGAAAUACUUUCAGAAUUACGCUACAAAAUUCCGGUGUUUUUUUACACCAAAAAUCGUUAAAAAUUCCAGAUAUCGAUCCGGGAAACAAUUUUACUAGUCGUAAUAUAUAAUUUUCAGCACUCUGCGGGAGCAUUGAAUGCUCGACCUUGACCCAAACCGUGACCGCGUUAAGCCUAAUCGAGGUCACUGGAGGUCAUUUUCCCGAAGAAACUAAGUUUCUUUGAUUCGGGCGGUAAUGUGCGAAAGUGGACGAGGCCAGGCGACCGAUUGAAUCUCCAUUAGACCGGAAGUCGAUGCCCCCGUGGUCGAUGGCACGUGUCGGUGAUUGGAAACAGCCAUAUCUAUGUUGUAUUUUACGCUGUACGUAAUUCUCCAGACUACAACGAUUAAACUCAUUAUAUUUUCA